GAAGGCUGCAACUCGCCUUCGUGAAGCCGGAAUCGCUAGUAACGGCUGAUCAGCCACGCAGCCGUGAAUACGUUCUCGGGUCUUGUACACACCGCCCGUCACGUCAUGGAAGCCAGAGACGCCUGAAGUCCCCCCCAGGGGCCCACGGCGGAGCUGGUGACCGGGACGAAGUCGUAACAAGGUAUCCGUAUCGGAAGGUGCGGAUGGAUCACCUCCUUUCUAGGGAGAUUA
Molecule: ribosomal RNA, 231 nt
Filed under: Candidatus Berkelbacteria bacterium
Lineage: Bacteria; Candidatus Berkelbacteria
Description: partial 16S ribosomal RNA
Rfam family: Bacterial small subunit ribosomal RNA
Source: RNAcentral